RNAcentral lists this ribosomal RNA (260 nucleotides) under uncultured bacterium. Its description in RNAcentral is "partial 16S ribosomal RNA". It matches the Rfam family "Bacterial small subunit ribosomal RNA", at positions 524 to 776 of the family's 1533-position model. The record is from RNAcentral.
UACGUAGGGGGCAAGCGUUGUCCGGAAUCAUUGGGCGUAAAGAGCGUGUAGGCGGCCCGGUAAGUCCGCUGUGAAAGUCCAGGGCUCAACCCUGGGAUGCCGGUGGAUACUGUCGGGCUCGAGUCCGGAAGAGGAGUGUGGAAUUCCGUGGUGUAGCGGUGAAAUGCGCAGAUAUCAGGAGGAACACCAAUGGCGAAGGCAGCAACCUCGUGGGAAGCGUGACUGACGGCUGAGACGCGAAAGCGUGGGGAGCAAACGGG